GGAACAAGUUGGAUUGCUCCGAAUUUCAGUGCCUAUCGGGCAGCCAGUGAACAUUUGUCCAUCUUUAAGGCAUUAAACUGAGAAGAACCACUGAGGAAAGCAUGCCACAGUCUUUCCCAAAAUCCCUGUGUCUUAAGGAACAACCAAGAAGUUAACUGGUCAGGGAAAAGAUUUCUUUUGGAACACAGAGAAUGAUGGGAGUUGUGAUCCAUACCUCCGUGUGCAUAAUGGUUGUACCUGCUCCAGGAAGGCGCUGGAUCCUCCCAACUCCAUGGCCUGUUCCAGCCACCGUGUCAACAUGCCUUGG
Molecule: long non-coding RNA, 307 nt
Filed under: Homo sapiens (human)
Lineage: Eukaryota; Metazoa; Chordata; Mammalia; Primates; Hominidae
Description: non-protein coding lnc-EMX2-5:3
Source: RNAcentral